GGUUGUCCGAAGGGAUAGUGAGACCCAUUUUUAGAUGAGUAAGUCAUUUGCUUGUUUUCUUUGGUGUGUGCAGUGUUUGUGAUUUUAGGAAGUGAAGACGUCCGAGGUUAUAAGGAAAUUGCAUCCACCACAGCAAUCUCACAUGGGACUAGAACAGCUUACAAGAUACUGUCACAGCUUUUAACGAUGGUCACCCGGUAUCCUCCAAGGCCAAGAGACGAUUGUUACCAAAAGAAACUUAUUGUAAGAAUUUGUCGUCUUGGAGGAAUAUGAAAUGCCUAGAAUUUGAGGAUUCAUUUGAAAUGGCGUAGUCUCCUAUUGGGAGAAUCUUCAAGACUGCAGAGGUAACUCGAUGAAAUCAGAAGUUCACAGAAGAAAUCUAAGAAAACAUUUGAAAAAAAAGAUUCCCCUGGAGGAAAGUGUAGGUUUCAUUUUUGAGUACUAGUUUAUUUUGGUUGCAGUGUUUUAUUGUAGGUCUCAAACGUAAAUUACGGUUAGGAGGACAUGAUUUCAAGCAUAGAAAAGGCAUGUAAUUGUUUAAGCAUCUUUAUAC
Macrobrachium nipponense is the source of this 553-nucleotide long non-coding RNA. RefSeq lists it as uncharacterized. The record is from RefSeq and is a predicted model, not a curated record. The transcript is spliced from 3 exons. NCBI's taxonomy places the organism in Eukaryota, Metazoa, Arthropoda, Malacostraca, Decapoda, Palaemonidae.